UUCUUCUCUCUCUCUCUCUCUCUCUCUCUCUCUCUAUAACAAUGAUCUACCUCAGCCGUCGCCGUCAACCUUCAAAUCGCCAUCCUUGACCUAAAAUACCCUUGAACUAGAAAGUGUUGUGAAGAAUUUGAGCAAAGCUAGGGUUUUUUUGAAAGUUCGAAUCCAAAAAUUAGGGCUUUUUUGUAGGGGGUAUUUCAUUGUUUUUAAUGUUGAGUUCGAAGAGAAUGAUUUUGCCGCCGUUACCGCCUAAGCAGUAUGGAGUGACGAAGCCAAUAUCAAUUGCAGGAUCGAUGGAGGGUGAUAUGCAAAGAACCCAUGAG
Molecule: long non-coding RNA, 320 nt
Filed under: Citrus sinensis (sweet orange)
Lineage: Eukaryota; Viridiplantae; Streptophyta; Magnoliopsida; Sapindales; Rutaceae
Description: long non-coding RNA (CSIN_LNC004408)
Source: RNAcentral